Gadus macrocephalus (Pacific cod) is the source of this 490-nucleotide long non-coding RNA. RefSeq lists it as uncharacterized. The transcript is spliced from 2 exons. The record is from RefSeq and is a predicted model, not a curated record. Lineage: Eukaryota; Metazoa; Chordata; Actinopteri; Gadiformes; Gadidae.
UCAGCCUCUCUCAUCAUCUCGUCCUUCACCAGCGACUCGUCCUCGUUCUUCAACACUUUGAUGGCCACGUCAAUCUGCCCACUGACAGAGCAACACCAAAACAAAGCGUGGAGGAUAUGAGGACGCCCUUUUUGACACAGCCGAAGUUCCCUGAGCCCAGCUCCACCUCAUCCAUCACCAGUUGGUCUCUGUUGAUGAAGAACUUCUUCAGGUCCUUGGGGUUGUGGUACGCGUUGACGAAACCACUGCAGUCCAUGGGCAGCAGCUGGCUGCCCGCCAAGGGGGCCGGGAGGCUGGGCUUGAGGAACGAGGUGGCUGGUGGCACAAGUCAUGGUGGCCAUGGUGACUUAAAGCGGCCCUGGUAAGCUCACAGGACAUUCUCCCUUCAAUUUUACUUUAGUGUGUGUGUGUGUGUGUGUGUGUGUGUGUGUGUGUGUGUGUGUGUGUGUGUGUGUGUGUGUGUGUGUGUGUGUGUGUGUGUGUGUGUGUG